UUGACAUUUCAACCUAAUGUGGGUCUUAUAGAUCAAACAUUGCCAUCUGGUUCUGCAGGCAUCAAUGUAGUUCAAGUUGUUCAUGUCAAUUUUAUGUCCUGCAUUUUAGCAGGAUCAGAUGGUGACUGUGAGAAGGUCCUUGUCACAGCAGGAUCAGACAGCCAGGGAGAAAAGGUCAACCGGGGAGCUGAGGGUCCAAUGAAAUCUGAUCUGCAGAGAACCAGACUGAAUCACAGAAUGCAGACAUAUGAGAUAAAGUUAUCCUUUCAUGAAGAAAACUAUAUUAAUGCACAAUCAAAAUACCCACCGC
This is a long non-coding RNA of Esox lucius (northern pike), 310 nucleotides long. RefSeq lists it as uncharacterized. The record is from RefSeq and is a predicted model, not a curated record. NCBI's taxonomy places the organism in Eukaryota, Metazoa, Chordata, Actinopteri, Esociformes, Esocidae. The transcript is spliced from 3 exons.